RNAcentral lists this ribosomal RNA (119 nucleotides) under Trypanosoma theileri. The record is from RNAcentral. Lineage: Eukaryota; Euglenozoa; Kinetoplastea; Trypanosomatida; Trypanosomatidae.
GGGCACGACCGUACAUGGCCGAAUGCACCGUAUCCCGUCCGAUUUGCGAAGUUAAGCGGCCACAGGCCUCGUUAGUACGGCGAUCGAUGAUGGGGCUGGAACCCGGGGUGCCGUACCCU